GGAGGCCACUGCUAUGGGAGUCCGACUAAGCCAUGCGAGUCUUGGGGGGCUUUGCCCACCGGCGGACGGCUCAGUAACACGUGGACAACCUACCCUCGGGAGGGGGAUAACCCUGGGAAACUGGGGCUAAACCCCCAUAGGGCAUAGGUGCUGGAAGGCCCUAUGCCCGAAAUUCCGAAAGGAGCCCGAGGAUGGGUCUGCGGCCUAUCAGGUUGUAGUGGGGGUAACGGCCCCACUAGCCUACGACGGGUACGGGCCCUGGGAGGGGGAGCCCGGAGAUGGACUCUGAGACAAGAGUCCAGGCCCUACGGGGCGCAGCAGGCGCGAAACCUCCGCAAUGCGGGAAACCGCGACGGGGGGACUCCCAGUGCCUACGCUAUGCGUAGGCUGUUCCCGAGCCUAAAAAGCUCGGGGAGUAAGGGCUGGGCAAGACGGGUGCCAGCCGCCGCGGUAAUACCCGCAGCCCGAGUGGUGGCCACUUUUAUUGGGCCUAAAGCGUCCGUAGCCGGCCCGGUAAAUGCUUGGGUAAAUCGCCUGGCCUAACCAGACGUAUUCCGGGCAGACUGCCGGGCUAGGGACCGGAGGAGGGAGAGGGUACUCCAGGGGUAGGGGUGAAAUCCUAUAAUCCCGGGAGGACCACCAGUGGCGAAGGCUGCCGGCUGGAACGCGCCCGACGGUGAGGGACGAAAGCCGGGGGAGCGAACCGGAUUAGAUACCCGGGUAGUCCCGGCCGUAAACGAUGCGGGCUAGGUGUUGGGACGGCUACGAGCCGUCCCAGUGCCGCAGGGAAGCCGUUAAGCCCGCCGCCUGGGGAGUACGGCCGCAAGGCUGAAACUUAA
This 839-nucleotide ribosomal RNA is filed under the name uncultured euryarchaeote. RNAcentral describes it as "bacterial SSU rRNA". It matches the Rfam family "Archaeal small subunit ribosomal RNA", at positions 19 to 859 of the family's 1478-position model. Lineage: Archaea; Methanobacteriati; Methanobacteriota. The record is from RNAcentral.